This 402-nucleotide ribosomal RNA is filed under the name Thoe puella. RNAcentral's name for it is "partial 16S ribosomal RNA". It matches the Rfam family "Bacterial large subunit ribosomal RNA", at positions 1960 to 2570 of the family's 2925-position model. The record is from RNAcentral. Lineage: Eukaryota; Metazoa; Arthropoda; Malacostraca; Decapoda; Mithracidae.
CAUAAUCAUUAGCUUUUUAAUUGUGAGCUUGUAUGAAUGGUUAAACAAAAGAAAUGCUGUCUCUUUUUUAAAAUUUGAAUUUAACUUUUGAGUGAAAAGGCUUAAAUAUAUUAAGGGGACGAUAAGACCCUAUAAAGCUUUAUAAGUAAUUAUAAGCAUUUCUGAGUUAAAGAUAAAAGAAGUAUUUAUAUUGCUUAUUAUGUUGGGGCGACACAGAUAAAAUUAGUAACUGUCAGGAAAAAAAACAUACAUUUAUGAGAACGUAUGAUCCUUCAUAAAGAUUAAAAGACAAAGUUACUUUAGGGAUAACAGCGUUAUUCUUUUUGAGAGUCCUUAUCGAAAAAAGAGUUUGCGACCUCGAUGUUGAAUCAUAAAAUCUUUAUAGUGCAGGAGCUAUAAAAA